UCCCCGUUACCGGGGCAGUCUAGCUAGAGAAAUUCAACUAGCUAUAAGGGUUGCGCUCGUUGAUGGACUUAACCAAACAUCUCACGACACGAGCUGACGACGGCCAUGCAACACCUGUCAUCGGGUUCCCGAAGGCACUCUCUCCUUUCGGAGAAAUUCCCGAGAUGUCAAGUCUUGGAUAAGGUUCUUCGUUUACCGUCGAAUUAAACAACACGCUCCACCGCUUGUGCGGGUCCCCGUCAAUUCCUUUAUGUUUUAGUCUUGCGACCGUACUCCACAGGCGGGAUGCUUAACGCGUUAGCUUCGCUACUACCAGGGUCGAUACUGAUAACAGCUAGCAUCCAUAGUUUACGGCGUGGACUAC
This 364-nucleotide unclassified non-coding RNA is filed under the name uncultured bacterium. RNAcentral describes it as "contains 16S-23S intergenic spacer region". The record is from RNAcentral.